Molecule: transfer RNA, 77 nt
Filed under: Pseudobdellovibrionaceae bacterium
Lineage: Bacteria; Pseudomonadati; Bdellovibrionota; Bdellovibrionia; Bdellovibrionales; Pseudobdellovibrionaceae
Description: Bdellovibrionaceae bacterium tRNA-Pro
Rfam family: tRNA
About the family: Transfer RNA (tRNA) molecules are approximately 80 nucleotides in length. Their secondary structure includes four short double-helical elements and three loops (D, anti-codon, and T loops).
Source: RNAcentral
CGGGGAGUAGCGCAGUCUGGUAGCGCACUAGUCUGGGGGACUAGUGGUCGCUGGUUCGAAUCCAGUCUCUCCGACCA